Molecule: long non-coding RNA, 1655 nt
Organism: Loxodonta africana (African savanna elephant)
Lineage: Eukaryota; Metazoa; Chordata; Mammalia; Proboscidea; Elephantidae
Exons: 2
Source: RefSeq, a predicted model, not a curated record
CCUGCCGCCGCCGCCGCCUCGUCCCCACCGCUCCCAUCACCGCUGCGGCGACUACUGCAGCGCCCGCUGACCCGACCCGACGUUAUUCUCCCCCUUCGCAACCCGGCACAGCCUAGCCCACCUGCCCUGCCAGUGCGCACGCCCACCUCUCCGCCACAGAUGCUGAUUGGAGAACGCGUUCCGAACACGCCACGUCGGUUGGCUAACCCCAUUGCCUAUCAUGAAGGGGGCGGAGAGUCGGGCAGAAAGCGUCUCCGCCCCCCACCGGAGAAAUGCCGCUAUCUUCAGGUUUGCCUGAGAGAACGAGUUACCGGGAAAGGAGCAUCACAAUGACAGCGCGCAUGCGCGCGGGAAUUCUGGGCGUUGUAGUUCCAGCCACCGACGCAACUGUCCUCCUGUCCUGAGGCGACUACAGGUUGGCGCUCCGGGUUGUUGUCUGCCUCACCAGCUGACUUGGUUCUAGUAGCAUAGUUGUGACCCCAGGGUUUGUCUUUUAGGAAGGAAAUCGGUAAUGUUUUGAAUUUAUACACUGAGGACGUCGCGACGAAGAGCCCCCAUGGUGAGGCCCUGCCAUGCCUUAAGGGGUCCGUCCCCUUCGUCAGAACCAGAGCUGCCCUGGAUUUGGCCGGUUGGCGCGAUCCCCCGGAGCCGCCUAACGUGAAGUAAAUCACCGGAAAUGCCGCUGCCUCUUGACAUUCCUUAAAAAACAGCAGGCACCUCUCCUGUCUGUCAUGUCCAGAUCUUUGGAUAAAAAGCCGGACAAAAUGUACAUUAAAGGCAAUUGAUGAUGCAGCUCAUCUUGUCCUAUUCAAUCCUAAAGAAGUUGCCAAGUUGUCAAAUUGUUUUCUUUCCACUGAUUAAAACCGCAAGUUGCUGUUUCCAUUACUUUGUCUAAUAUAGUUCACUUCAGAGUAUUGGCCCAGCAAGUAAUUUAAAAAUGUUAGGGUUUCUGUAAAUAUUUUUCUUUAAAAUUAAAGGGAUUUAUGGAGGGAGGGAUGUUCAGGUUCAUUGAAAUUGAGCAUUGUUAUACCUGACAAUAUUUCAAGUAGCUACUGUCAAUUUGAAAAAAAUAAUUUCAUUCACUUAGCAGAUGUGGCCUGUCUUCCUCUUCAAGCUACCUAGAUAUGGUCUCUACUAUAAAAAAAAAAAACUAUAAUGGGGAGGGGUUUAAUAAAUUUACUCCAAGAACUACUAUUUUGUCCAUUUUAAAUGAGUCAGUGAGUAGGGCUGAAUUCUCCAAAUGAUGGAACAAUGAUUAUUCAUGUGAUUAUUAUUUUAUGACCAACUCUAACUGGCAAAUCCAUGAAGGAUAUGACAAUCAGAAGAAUAUGUGAGGAAGCAGUCCAGUAGCAGUACAUCAAGAAAGAGUUAAGAAAGAAAGAAAAGUGCAGAGGGAGGUGUUCUGUGAAGAGACUCUUGAGAAAAGGGCGAUAGUGUACCACAGGGUAAGACGCACAAGAAUGAAUAUACCUGUUGCCUUCAAGUCAACAGGACGGAGUAGAACUGCCCCAUAGAGUUUUCCAAGGCUGUAAUCUUUACAAAAGCAGACUGCCACAUCCUUCUCCUGCUGAAUGGCUGGUGGGUUCGAACUGCUGGUCCAAACCAGCCAAACCCUUAACCACUGCACCACCAAAAAAAAAAAAAAAAAAAACCAC